This 491-nucleotide ribosomal RNA is filed under the name uncultured bacterium. RNAcentral's name for it is "bacterial SSU rRNA". It matches the Rfam family "Bacterial small subunit ribosomal RNA", at positions 21 to 507 of the family's 1533-position model. The record is from RNAcentral.
GGCUCAGGAUGAACGCUAGCGGCAGGCUUAAUACAUGCAAGUCGUGGGGCAGCAUGAGUAGCAAUACUUGAUGGCGACCGGCAAACGGGUGAGGAACACGUACACAACCUUCCUUCAAGCGGGGAAUAGCCCAGAGAAAUUUGGAUUAAUACCCCAUAAUAUAUUUGAUAAGGCAUCUUAUUAAUAUUAAAGCUUCGGCACUUGAUGAUGGGUGUGCGGCUGAUUAGAUAGUUGGCGGGUAACGGCCCACCAAGUCUACGAUCAGUAGCUGAUGUGAGAGCAUGAUCAGCCACACGGGCACUGAGACACGGGCCCGACUCCUACGGGAGGCAGCAGUAAGGAAUAUUGGACAAUGGACGAAAGUCUGAUCCAGCCAUGCCCGCGUGAAGGAUUAAGGUCCUCUGGAUUGUAACUUCUUUUAUAUGGGACGAAAAAAGGGCAUUCUUGUUCACUUGACGGUACCAUAUGAAUAAGCACCGGCUAACUCCGUG